RNAcentral lists this ribosomal RNA (429 nucleotides) under bacterium. RNAcentral describes it as "partial 16S ribosomal RNA". It matches the Rfam family "Bacterial small subunit ribosomal RNA", at positions 355 to 776 of the family's 1533-position model. The record is from RNAcentral.
UAGGGAAUCUUCCACAAUGGACGCAAGUCUGAUGGAGCAACGCCGCGUGAGUGAAGAAGGUUUUCGGAUCGUAAAGCUCUGUUGUUGGUGAAGAAGGAUAGAGGUAGUAACUGGCCUUUAUUUGACGGUAAUCACCCAGAAAGUCACGGCUAACUACGUGCCAGCAGCCGCGGUAAUACGUAGGUGGCAAGCGUUGUCCGGAUUUAUUGGGCGUAAAGCGAGCGCAGGCGGAAGAAUAAGUCUGAUGUGAAAGCCCUCGGCUUAACCGAGGAACUGCAUCGGAAACUGUUUUUCUUGAGUGCAGAAGAGGAGAGUGGAAUUCCAUGUGUAGCGGUGGAAUGCGUAGAUAUAUGGAAGAACACCAGUGGCGAAGGCGACUCUCUGGUCUGCAACUGACGCUGAGGCUCGAAAGCAUGGGUAGCGAACAGG